UACGUAGGGGUGCAAGCGUUGUCCGGAAUUAUUGGGCGUAAAGAGCUCGUAGGCGGUUCGUCGCGUCGGCUGUGAAAACCUGAGGCUCAACCUCGGGUCUGCAGUCGAUACGGGCAAACUAGAGUAUUGCAGGGGAGACUGGAAUUCCUGGUGUAGCGGUGAAAUGCGCAGAUAUCAGGAGGAACACCGGUGGCGAAGGCGGGUCUCUGGGACGUUACUGACGCUGAGACGCGAAAGCGUGGGGAGCAAACAGG
This 254-nucleotide ribosomal RNA is filed under the name uncultured bacterium. RNAcentral's name for it is "partial 16S ribosomal RNA". It matches the Rfam family "Bacterial small subunit ribosomal RNA", at positions 524 to 776 of the family's 1533-position model. The record is from RNAcentral.